This 1236-nucleotide long non-coding RNA is filed under the name Oncorhynchus mykiss (rainbow trout). RNAcentral's name for it is "lncRNA (ENSOMYG00000065007.1)". Lineage: Eukaryota; Metazoa; Chordata; Actinopteri; Salmoniformes; Salmonidae. The record is from RNAcentral.
CCUUACCAGCUGGUGUUACAAGCCACUAAGCCUUACCAGCUGGUGUUACAAGCCACUAAGCCUUACCUGCUGGUGUUACAAGCCACUAAGCCUUACCAGCUGGUGUUACAAGCCACUAAGCCUUACCUGCUGGUGUUACAAGCCACUAAGCCUUACCUGCUGGUGUUACAAGCCACUAAGCCUUACCUGCUGGUGUUACAAGCCACUAAGCCUUACCUGCUGGUGUUACAAGCCACUAAGCCUUACCAGCUGGUGUUACAAGCCACUAAGCCUUACCAGCUGGUGUUACAAGCCACUAAGCCUUACCUGCUGGUGUUACAAGCCACUAAGCCUUACCUGCUGGUGUUACAAGCCACUAAGCCUUACCUGCUGGUGUUACAAGCCACUAAGCCUUACCUGCUGGUGUUACAAGCCACUAAGCCUUACCUGCUGGUGUUACAAGCCACUAAGCCUUACCUGCUGGUGUUACAAGCCACUAAGCCUUACCUGCUGGUGUUACAAGCCACUAAGCCUUACUUGCUGGUGUUACAAGCCACUAAGCCUUACCUGCUGGUGUUACAAGCCACUAAGCCUUACCUGCUGGUGUUACAAGCCACUAAGCCUUACCUGCUGGUGUUACAAGCCACUAAGCCUUACCUGCUGGUGUUACAAGCCACUAAGCCUUACCUGCUGGUUUUACAAGCCACUAAGCCUUACCUGCUGGUGUUACAAGCCACUAAGCCUUACCUGCUGGUGUUACAAGCCACUAAGCCUUACCUGCUGGUGUUACAAGCCACUAAGCCUUACCUGCUGGUGUUACAAGCCACUAAGCCUUACCUGCUGGUUUUACAAGCCACUAAGCCUUACCUGCUGGUGUUACAAGCCACUAAGCCUUACCUGCUGGUGUUACAAGCCACUAAGCCUUACCAGCUGGUGUUACAAGCCACUAAGCCUUACCAGCUGGUGUUACAAGCCACUAAGCCUUACCUGCUGGUGUUACAAGCCACUAAGCCUUACCUGCUGGUGUUACAAGCCACUAAGCCUUACCUGCUGGUGUUACAAGCCACUAAGCCUUACUUGCUGGUGUUACAAGCCACUAAGCCUUACCUGCUGGUGUUACAAGCCACUAAGCCUUACCUGCUGGUGUUACAAGCCACUAAGCCUUACCUGCUGGUGUUUUAUACUUGGCUUUUAUUUUUGUUGGAAAGUAAAAGAAGCAGAGUGGAACUUUGUUCAAUCAUAAUGCUUGUUUUCUGA